AACGAACGCUGGCGGCAGGCCUAACACAUGCAAGUCGAGCGAGGACUUCGGUUCUAGCGGCGGACGGGUGAGUAACGCGUGGGAAUGUGCCCUUCUCUACGGAAUAGCCCUGGGAAACUGGGAGUAAUACCGUAUACGCCCUAUUGGGGAAAGAUUUAUCGGAGAAGGAUCAGCCCGCGUUGGAUUAGGUAGUUGGUGGGGUAAUGGCCUACCAAGCCGACGAUCCAUAGCUGGGUUGAGAGGAUGAUCAGCCACACUGGGACUGAGACACGGCCCAGACUGCUACGGGAGGCAGCAGUGGGGAAUCUUAGACAAUGGGGGCAAACCUGAUCUAGCCAUGCCGCGUGAGUGAUGAAGGCCUUAGGGUUGUAAAGCUCUUUCAGCUGGGAAGAUAAUGACGGUACCAGCAGAAGAAGCCCCGGCUAACUCCGUG
RNAcentral lists this ribosomal RNA (433 nucleotides) under uncultured bacterium. Its description in RNAcentral is "partial 16S ribosomal RNA". It matches the Rfam family "Bacterial small subunit ribosomal RNA", at positions 29 to 507 of the family's 1533-position model. The record is from RNAcentral.